This 301-nucleotide ribosomal RNA is filed under the name uncultured bacterium. RNAcentral describes it as "partial 16S ribosomal RNA". It matches the Rfam family "Bacterial small subunit ribosomal RNA", at positions 509 to 807 of the family's 1533-position model. The record is from RNAcentral.
CAGCCGCCGCGGUAAUACGAAGGGUGCAAGCGUUAAUCGGAAUUACUGGGCGUAAAGCGUGCGUAGGCGGUUUGUUAAGUCUGUUGUGAAAUCCCCGGGCUCAACCUGGGAAUGGCAAUGGAUACUGGCAAGCUAGAGUGUGUCAGAGGAUGGUGGAAUUCCCGGUGUAGCGGUGAAAUGCGUAGAGAUCGGGAGGAACAUCAGUGGCGAAGGCGGCCAUCUGGGACAACACUGACGCUGAGGCACGAAAGCGUGGGGAGCAAACAGGAUUAGAGACCCCCGUAGUCCCUGUCUCUUAUAC